UAUGUGAUCGUCUCUCGCAUAUCAAUAAGCGGAGGAAAAGAAACUAACAAGGAUUCCCCUAGUAACGGCGAGUGAAGCGGGAAGAGCUCAAAUUUGAAAUCUUAAAGGGUUUCCCUUUACGAAUUGUAGUUUAAAGAAGUGUUUUCUGUUGAGGUUUUGGUAAAAGUUCUUUGGAAUAGGACAUCAUAGAGGGUGAGAAUCCCGUAUUUGACCUUUACUUUCAACUUUGUGAUACACUUUCAAAGAGUCGGAUUGUUUGGGAAUGCAGUCCAAAAUGGGUGGUAAAUUUCAUCUAAAGCUAAAUAUUGGCGAGAGACCGAUAGCGAACAAGUACCAUGAGGGAAAGAUGAAAAGAACUUUGAAAAGAGAGUUAAACAGUACGUGAAAUUGUCAAAAGGGAAGCGUUUGACACCAGUGUUGUUUUUCUGAAAAUCAAUUAAAGAACUGUUUAUGCUAAGUUGUUUAGACUUUAUCAGCUAACUGUUUAGUUUUGAGCUUUUCUUUAAUGCACUUUUCAGUUAACAAGUCAACAUCAAUUUCUUUUGCUGUAAAAAAGCUUGAGGAAGGUGGCUUGAGAUUCGUCUUAAGUGUUUAUAGCCUCUUGCCUAUGCAGUCGGAGAGAUUGAGGUCUGCAGCGUAGAUCCUUCGGGGCUAAAUGCAUUUGUGCUAAGUUAUAGCAUUUUAUAGACAACUUGUUGACUAUGAUUUGUCUUGUAGCUUACUCGCUUAUGUUAUUUUACCUACGCUUAGGAUGUUGAUCUGUAGUGCGUGCGC
This 774-nucleotide ribosomal RNA is filed under the name uncultured Neocallimastigales. Its description in RNAcentral is "partial large subunit ribosomal RNA". It matches the Rfam family "Eukaryotic large subunit ribosomal RNA", at positions 24 to 646 of the family's 3401-position model. Lineage: Eukaryota; Fungi; Neocallimastigomycota; Neocallimastigomycetes; Neocallimastigales. The record is from RNAcentral.